CUCUGGAAGACCUGAGCCCCAGCGUGGUGCUGCACAUGACUGAAAAGCUGGGCUACAAGAACAGUGACGUCAUCAACACGGUGCUCUCCAACCGAGCCUGCCACAUCCUGGCCAUCUACUUCCUGUUGAACAAGAAACUUGAGCGUUAUCUGUCAGGGGUAAGUGGGACCCUAGAGGAGCAUCUUCUGUCUAGUGUUGGGAAGCUACACUUGGUCCAUACUGUCAUUUUAGCCUAAAACAUGAGUCCCAGUCUCUUGAAUGGGGGAUAAAGGACUAGCAAAACCCAUUUUUUAGACCGUGCUGCUGGUCUGAGAUGUGAUCCAAAUGCUCUCCUAUAAACGUUAGCCCUGGCCUACCCCUGAGGGGCUUAGCUCUGUCC
Molecule: long non-coding RNA, 379 nt
Filed under: Rattus norvegicus (Norway rat)
Lineage: Eukaryota; Metazoa; Chordata; Mammalia; Rodentia; Muridae
Description: long non-coding RNA NONRATT006430
Source: RNAcentral